UGGGUGAGUAACGCGUGGGUAACCUGCCCUUAAGUCUGGGAUACCAUUUGGAAACAGAUGCUAAUACCGGAUAAAAGCUACUUUCGCAUGAAAGAAGUUUAAAAGGCGGCGUAAGCUGUCGCUAAAGGAUGGACCUGCGAUGCAUUAGCUAGUUGGUAAGGUAACGGCUUACCAAGGCGAUGAUGCAUAGCCGAGUUGAGGGACUGAUCGGCCACAUUGGGACUGAGACACGGCCCAAACUCCUACGGGAGGCAGCAGAA
RNAcentral lists this ribosomal RNA (260 nucleotides) under uncultured Lactobacillus sp. RNAcentral describes it as "partial 16S ribosomal RNA". It matches the Rfam family "Bacterial small subunit ribosomal RNA", at positions 103 to 354 of the family's 1533-position model. The record is from RNAcentral. Lineage: Bacteria; Bacillati; Bacillota; Bacilli; Lactobacillales; Lactobacillaceae.